GUGUGGGGGGGUUUAUGAUGGUGGUGGUGGGGGCAAUAAUCACAAAUUGAGCAGUCUUCUGAGUAAUGACCUUACUUGGUUAUUGCAAGCAAAGUGAAGAAGAGCUUAUGUUUUUGUGAAGGAAAUGACAGAAAAUACCAGGCUCCAUCAGUAUAGAUCAGUCUCCAUUUGAGUUCUGCACCAUCUAUCUCCACCACCUGGAUAGUUGUGCAAGAUGCAAACAGUCCAAACUAAUAAUGUUUCUACAUCAUAAUGGGAUUUGCAGAUGAAUGGCUUGUGCCUUACAACUAUACAAUCAGUCUCUCUUGUAACCUGCAAGAAACUAGCUUCAGCAAUGGUGUUAAAGAAUAAAAGAGUUUGGAGGUUAUGGAAGGGGGCCAUUACUCAGAGCAGGCCCUUCUACUUUCUAUGUCCAAAUAUCACAUGCCAGCAGAUGUGGUCACCAUCAUAGGUACUCAAGAUAUCGUGUCUGGAAAGGUAGAUAGGACUACUAGGUGCUCGAUCAGGACCUAGCUUUAUUGCGAGCCAAAAAAAGAAAAAAGACUUGUCACACAAGAGGCCUGGUUCCGUGAACGCGGAAUGAAGACACAGCCGAGCCAAGGAUGUGACUCAUUCACUGGCUUGUUAUGGUGAAGAUCGGGCUUGUCUGUAGUGCAAAAGUGUGGGUAGCACACAUCCAACGGCCAAGAACGUUCAGGCAUGCAGUCCAAGACAUUUCUGGUUGUUGGAUGCACGCUACAGGGCCUGUCGGGCGACGGAGGAUCCCGAUCCUGAAAAUAAUGCCAAAGCAAUCUUGUCAAUCACUGUAUUGAUACUCUUAUCACUCUUAUGUUUGUUUUCCAAACCAUUGUCACUACUGUUUUUCUCAACUAAUGGCACAUGGAAGGGUGGAAUUUCGUCUUCUCAUCCAUGAUUGUAAAUUUGCAACUGUGCUUUGAAUGCAGCAAGAGUCAGGCAAAUAGUUCCUAGAAA
This is a long non-coding RNA of Macadamia integrifolia, 972 nucleotides long. RefSeq lists it as uncharacterized. Lineage: Eukaryota; Viridiplantae; Streptophyta; Magnoliopsida; Proteales; Proteaceae. The transcript is spliced from 2 exons. The record is from RefSeq and is a predicted model, not a curated record.